AUUGAGAUAGACACAAUAAAAAUUUAAGUGAACAAAAAAUCUAAGGACUCAUUGGAUAUUAUGAAGAAGAUGGAUUAUGACCCAAUAAGGGGCAUUUUGGUUAAUUCACUUCAAGAGUUGAUUUUUGACCAAAGUGUCAAUUAAAUUAAAUGAAAAUAAAAUAUUAAAUUAUGAAAAAAUAUUGAGGAAAAGUUCAAAUAUAAAGGUGAAAAAAAAAGAAAAGAAAAGAA
RNAcentral lists this unclassified non-coding RNA (230 nucleotides) under Hevea brasiliensis (rubber tree). Lineage: Eukaryota; Viridiplantae; Streptophyta; Magnoliopsida; Malpighiales; Euphorbiaceae. The record is from RNAcentral.